UACGGAGGGAGCUAGCGUUGUUCGGAAUUACUGGGCGUAAAGCGCACGUAGGCGGCCUAUCAAGUCAGGGGUGAAAUCCCGGGGCUCAACCCCGGAACUGCCCUUGAAACUGGUAAGCUAGAAUCCUGGAGAGGCGAGUGGAAUUCCGAGUGUAGAGGUGAAAUUCGUAGAUAUUCGGAAGAACACCAGUGGCGAAGGCGACUCGCUGGACAGGUAUUGACGCUGAGGUGCGAAAGCGUGGGGAGCAAAC
RNAcentral lists this ribosomal RNA (250 nucleotides) under uncultured bacterium. RNAcentral's name for it is "partial 16S ribosomal RNA". It matches the Rfam family "Bacterial small subunit ribosomal RNA", at positions 524 to 773 of the family's 1533-position model. The record is from RNAcentral.